GGAAGCGGUGGAAGAGACGAAAUCACAUAACACCUCCGGCGGUCUCUCUCCGGCGAUCUCACAGAACACCUCCGGCGGUCUCACAGAACACACGAACACACACCCAUAGCAAUACCUACAUCAUUUCCCAGAUCUAGCAAAAUCUCUUUCUCCCACUUUCAUAAAUCAAAAUAAAAAAUCAACUCCAAUAGACAAAAUCAUAAUUCAAUAAUCCUAACUUCAAAAUCAAAAUCAUAAAAUUGAGCUCGCGGUGGAAGGCGGCGCAUUGGGAGGCGCGAAGCGGUGGAAGGCGGAAGGCGGCGCAGAUCUGAGCAGAUCCCUAACUUAUUUGAGCAGAUCUGCCCGCGGUGGAAGGCGGCGCAGGAGGAGGCGCGAAGCGGCGGUGGCGUUGGAGUCGGUGAAGACGGAAGCGCGAGGCGGCGCGAUUUGCGUUAGCGGCGGAGACGCGGGCGGAGCAUGAGGUGUUGGAGGCGGUGAAGACGGAAGCGCGAGGCGGCGCGAUUUGCGUUGGCGGCAGAGACGCGAGGCGGAGCAGGAGGUGUUGGAGGCGGUGAAGACGGAAGCGCGAGGCGGCGCGAUUUGCGUUGGCGGCGGAGACGCGAGGCGGAGCAGGAGGUGUUGGAGGCGGUGGAAGGUGGAGGGGUGAGAGGAACGGUGGCGAGGAGGUGUUGGAGCCCGGCGCAGUGGUGGCGGUGAGAGGAGGGAAGCGGUGGAAGAGGAUGGUGGGUGGGGUUGAGACGAGAGAGAGAUAGAUAGAGAGAGAGAGAGAAGCAGGUGGGUUGGUUGGUGGGGGAGGAGAGAGACUUUAAUUAAAUGCUUAAUUGAGUCCUAAUUAAUGCCAAAAAAGGAAAGGGGACUUGUUACAUGGGACGGCCCAAAAAGGAAUACGGGACUUGAAU
RNAcentral lists this long non-coding RNA (899 nucleotides) under Salvia miltiorrhiza (redroot sage). RNAcentral describes it as "long non-coding RNA (SMIL_LNC007156)". Lineage: Eukaryota; Viridiplantae; Streptophyta; Magnoliopsida; Lamiales; Lamiaceae. The record is from RNAcentral.